UGGGGAAUAUUGCACAAUGGGCGCAAGCCUGAUGCAGCCAUGCCGCGUGUAUGAAGAAGGCCUUCGGGUUGUAAAGUACUUUCAGCGGGGAGGAAGGUGUUGUGGUUAAUAACCGCAGCAAUUGACGUUACCCGCAGAAGAAGCACCGGCUAACUCCGUGCCAGCAGCCGCGGUAAUACGGAGGGUGCAAGCGUUAAUCGGAAUUACUGGGCGUAAAGCGCACGCAGGCGGUCUGUCAAGUCGGAUGUGAAAUCCCCGGGCUCAACCUGGGAACUGCAUUCGAAACUGGCAGGCUAGAGUCUUGUAGAGGGGGGUAGAAUUCCAGGUGUAGCGGUGAAAUGCGUAGAGAUCUGGAGGAAUACCGGUGGCGAAGGCGGUCCCCUGGACAAAGACUGACGCUCAGGUGCGAAAGCGUGGGGAGCAAACA
RNAcentral lists this ribosomal RNA (427 nucleotides) under uncultured bacterium. RNAcentral's name for it is "partial 16S ribosomal RNA". It matches the Rfam family "Bacterial small subunit ribosomal RNA", at positions 355 to 774 of the family's 1533-position model. The record is from RNAcentral.